RNAcentral lists this unclassified non-coding RNA (320 nucleotides) under Herpotrichiellaceae sp. Its description in RNAcentral is "partial contains 5.8S ribosomal RNA, internal transcribed spacer 2, and large subunit ribosomal RNA". The stretch from base 1 to 71 matches the Rfam family "5.8S ribosomal RNA", at positions 84 to 154 of the family's 154-position model. Lineage: Eukaryota; Fungi; Ascomycota; Eurotiomycetes; Chaetothyriales; Herpotrichiellaceae. The record is from RNAcentral.
GUGAGUCAUCGAAUCUUUGAACGCAUAUUGCGCCCUUUGGUAUUCCGAAGGGCAUGCCUGUUCGAGCGUCAUUAUCACCUCUCGAGCCCUCGGGCUUGGUCUUGGACGGCUUGGUUUUGGCAACAAAACUCCUCCCAAAGUUAAUGACGGCGGCCUGUGAGACCCCCGGUACACUGAGCUUCUUAACUGAGCACGUAUCGGUUAGAGGGUGGACAGGACCCGGUCUUCUUUCUUAAAACAGGAAAAUCUCUUUUCUGCAAGGUUGACCUCGGAUCAGGUAGGGAUACCCGCUGAACUUAAGCAUAUCAAUAAGCGGAGGA